UAGGGAAUAUUGCGCAAUGGACGAAAGUCUGACGCAGCCACGCCGCGUGAGUGAGGAAGGCCUUCGGGUUGUAAAGCUCUGUCGCCUGGGAAAAACGGCUAUCCGGGGAAAGUUCGGGUAGCGUGAUGGUACCAGGAAAGGAAGCACCGGCUAACUCUGUGCCAGCAGCCGCGGUAAGACAGAGGGUGCAAACGUUGUUCGGAAUUACUGGGCGUAAAGCGAGUGUAGGCGGUUUGGUAAGUCGGAUGUGAAAGCCCCGGGCUCAACCCGGGAAGUGCAUUCGAUACUGCCAAGCUAGAGUAUCGGAGAGGUUGGUGGAAUUCUCGGUGUAGAGGUGAAAUUCGUAGAUAUCGAGAGGAACACCGGUGGUGAAGGCGGCCAACUGGACGAAUACUGACGCUGAGACUCGAAAGCGUGGGGAGCAAA
This 426-nucleotide ribosomal RNA is filed under the name uncultured bacterium. Its description in RNAcentral is "bacterial SSU rRNA". It matches the Rfam family "Bacterial small subunit ribosomal RNA", at positions 355 to 772 of the family's 1533-position model. The record is from RNAcentral.